Molecule: long non-coding RNA, 2096 nt
Filed under: Daucus carota (carrot)
Lineage: Eukaryota; Viridiplantae; Streptophyta; Magnoliopsida; Apiales; Apiaceae
Description: long non-coding RNA (DCAR_LNC004797)
Source: RNAcentral
UCUUACCAGAACAGCAGCAUGAGUUCUUAAGGAUGCUGAACCACCUGUGUGAGUUGGAGGGUAGUGGUCCGUCCCACCACGACGAUUUUUCUUUUGAGUUUUUGAUUUAGUCUGGAAAUCUGGAGUUUUCCAAAACUCAACCCAAGGUAGCCAUACAUGCAUGGCUACUCUAUUGUCCACUUCACCAGCUUCCCAUUUUUUCCGAGCAUCACUACAAAAGUUGGAAUAUCGAUUUCUUGCUUUUUUUACCCAUGCUUUGUAUAUUUGUUUGUCUUCUUGUCUCCAAACAAAAGAUUUCUGCAAAAAAUAAUAAUAUUAUUUGGAUCAUCAACAUGAUCUGCCCCGGUGUAAACAAAGCCAUCUUGCACUUAAACAAGUGAUUUGACUGAUAUUGUUUGAUAGUUUUAUAUUUCUAUUACUCAGAACUUGGUUUCCCAGACCUUCCGCAAAUUAAAUCUAACUCUGUAGUUUACUUAGCGAUCAUAGGGAUUACGUCGAUNCUUCAUCUCUUCCAUUUGGUUUCUCAUAUCUUCAAGUUCCUUAUCUCUCGUCUCCUGUAACUCCUUUACCUGUUCCUUCAUUUCUUGGAGCUCAACCUGCAUUAGCUCAUAUUCUUUAUUGAAGUUAGAGCCACUGUAACGGGAAGUGGAUGUACUGCUCUUGCUUUCUGGCCCAUAUAUGACGCUUUGCAAAGAACCCAAGCCAUAUAUUCUAUUUCUUUUGUCCAGCCCUCCAACUGCCUCCAAGAAUAUUUCGUCUUCAUCAACAAUCUGAGGUUCAUCAGAACCUUCAAUAGGUUUAGAGCGUUCCUCACGAAUUUCAAUAACCUUAUUCUGUAAAAUAAUGAAAACACAUCAUACCAAUUAAUUUUUGUGCAACAAUAACGACAAUAAAAAUAUUAAAACUCCUACAGCACUCGCAAUUGCAAUAUUUCGGAAUACUACUUACAUAUACUGCUUCCGCUUUCUUAGUAACAAAGGUCUUUUUGUCACGUUUCUUAGUAUGUGUAAGCAAAUACACAUCGGCCGGAGUUGGAUCUUUACCAUUAGUCUCCGCCUGAAAUUAAAUUUAAUUUACAAGUUAAAAAAACACUUACUAGUAUGUCCUGCAUUUCUGAUCACAGGUAAAUUCCAAGCCAAGCCAACAACAAAGCUCAUUACAGUAUAUAUUACUUCACCAGAAAACUAUUAUCUGCCAGUUUUCUGUUCAUAUUUUUCAGAUAUCCAUAUAUUAAUUUAAGUACACUGCAACAACAGGAGUGCGAUCUUUUAAAGGUUCUCUACAAUGUUAUUCCAUAUAAAAAUUAAAACAAAAUGUUCAUAAUAAUCAUUUGACAAUAAAAAUUCUAAGAUUCUAAAGGCCAAGUGAAUCUCAUUUGUUAUCCUGCCAAAAUCACUAUCAAGCUGCUUUCAACAAGUUGUAAAUAGUAUAAUUGGCAUUUAUACAUUUGCCCGUGCACCACAGCCUAGCACAACAAACAAUUACAUGUUCUGUAAUAUAGUAGUAUUAAACUUGAUUAUUCCUAAUAGCUCAGUGUUUAUCUAUUUGCAGCGGAAAUGUUUGAUAAAUUCAGGCUAAUCAUUCUUUCUGACGAACGCGCAAAGAUAAUUAGUGCAAAAUAGAUAAACAUGUACUCAAGGAAGAACCAGAGCCUCAAUGGAUUUCAAAACCGCAUGGUAUAUUACUUCAUUCAGAAUAAUUAAAUCAUAUGAAUUUCAAACAAAAUUAUCUUAGUCGAUUAUCCUCUAUCACAGGCUGUCCAUAUAAUAGUCAUUACAAUAAAAAGCAUUAAACCAAAACCAAACAAUCAAUAAAGAAUAACAAAAUAAAUUAGAUUAGUUAAGUUCAAGCUCUUACCAGAACAGCAGCAUGAGUUCUUAAGGAUGCUGAACCACCUGUGUGAGUUGGAGGGUAGUGGUCCGUCCCACCACGACGAUUUUUCUUUUGAGUUUUUGAUUUAGUCUGGAAAUCUGGAGUUUUCCAAAACUCAACCCAAGGUAGCCAUACAUGCAUGGCUACUCUAUUGUCCACUUCACCAGCUUCCCAUUUUUUCCGAGCAUCACUACAAAAGUUGGAAUAUCGAUUUCUUGCUUUUU